UCUAUAUAGCAAUCUUUAACUCGUCAUGUUGCGGGAUUUUCAAAUUCGAAAAGAAGAACAUUGGGGAAGAACAGCAUGAUUUUCGAUUUGGUGACCGUAUUACUUACAGAUAAUUAUACAUUACAUAACCUUACACAAUCAAUUUACUUUUUAUGAUUAUUCUGAUAUGCAUGCCCCAUAUAUGUUAUUCCCAAAACCUUUAAAAAGGAGGAAUCCGGGUCAGGUCGUGCAAACCCAAUUAUUUUUUAUUGUGAUUAAUUACAAACUGCGCUGAAGUUUUUAAUGAUUAUUGGAUAAUUGACCUGUUCUAUAGGUACAUGUACCUAACUUACCAGGUGACAAUACAAGUUGAACCCUUGAAAUUGGUAUAAAUUCAAAUGCUUAGUGAUAUAUAAAAAAGAAGAUGUGGUAUGAUUGCCAUUAGGCAUUAUGGACUUUGCUCAUUGUUGAAGGUUUGUACAGUGACCUAUAGUUGUUAAUGUCUGUGUCAUUUUUAGAGUCUCUUGUGGAUAGUUGUCUCAUUGGGCCAAAGGGACAACUGUCCACAAGAGACCAAAAUGGCCAAUGAGACAUGUCCACAAGAGACCAAAAUGACUUAGCUGCGCAACCGUAGCUCAUAGGUCCUUAUGUUAUUUUUGACUAUUUGCAGACCAUAACAUAAGGACCUUUGAGCAUAGAUGGUCCGCAAAUAGUCAAAAAAUAACAUAAGGACCUACAUGUAUGAGCAUAGAAGGUCCGCAAAUAGUCAAAAAAUAACAAGGACCUAUGAGCUACAGUUCCACAGCUAAAAAUGACUCAGACAUUAACAGCUAUAGUCACCAUACAGCCCUCAACAAUGAGCAAAAGCCCAUACCGCAUAGUCAGCUAUAACAGGCCUCGAUAAGUACCGAUUAUCAGGUUAUGUGCAUGUUGAUAUCGUAAAAUAUCAGCUGCAAGACAUCAUAUGAAGCUUUUUGACGAGUGAGCAUAGCGAACGAGAUCAAAAAGCAUUCAUAUGAUGUCAAGCAGCUGAUAUUUUCCAAUAUCAAUAUGCAGAUAAUCUGAUAAUCAAUUUAUCAGGCUAUAUUUGCGUGUUUCAGAAGUGUCUUCUUUGUUUCACCAGCACACACAGAUGAUUUGAUAAGUUCGGGUCAAAGUUAUUAACGUCGGUUCAAACAUUAUGACGUCGCUGAUACAUGUAUGUCCGGGUCAAAGUUAAUAAGGCCGGGUCAAUGUAUUUGACGUCACAAAGACAUGAUACGGAAUAAUAUUAAGAGCUGAACAGAGUGAUAUAGACAGUGGGACGACCGAUAAGACAUAUGUAAAACAAUUCAAACGAGAAAACUUAAGAUAUGUGCAUUGUUCAUCAUGUUCAUAUUGUAUAUGAAGAUUAAUAAGAUUAAAGUAAACAAUGUGGUAUGUUUCCAAAAUAAAAGCUAUCCACCAAUGACCAACUGAUGUCGAUGCAAUUACUAGCCAUACAAAUGAUACAUACAUGUUGGUCACCAUACUUCCUUCAUUUAUAUUAUGACUUUUGAGUAAAUUUUUGCAAACAUGGCAAACCUGUACAUGUACAUGCUGUUUAUAUACAUAUUACUACAGUUCAAUGACUCAAGUUUUAAAUGCAUAAGCUUAAGGUCAUAACAGAAUUUAAACUAACUAUCAUAAUUGUAUGAACAUCAUGAUGAAUAUUUACAUUCUCUCAAAGAGUUUUAAUUUUACUUAGCUAAUACAGAAGAUGAUGGAUUCCCCAACAGAAAUCUUGAUGAUCGAACGAUUAAGGUGAAAAAAUUGAAGAAUUGCAUCAAUUGUUACAGAGAAUCGAUUUGCAAGCAGAAACAGGUGCUCAAAGAUAAGGGAAUACAACAGCCAUCCAUGAUCCUUUACAUGUAAAGUAAGUAGCUGUUCAUGAUGCUUAAAGGCAUAUACAAUCUAGUCUGGGCAUGUAAAACAGCAGCUGGUUCUAUUUUGAAAAUCUACAAAAUAGAGCUAAGGUCCUUUAAGCCAAGAAACUGCUAGUGUCUGAAGAGGACAAUUUAAGACAGGACAUGAAAAUUGAUUUAAUGUCAAGUUGGAACAGUGAUUCUGUAAAUAAACUCGCCUGAUCACAAGACCUCGGAUUUGACUGAAUCUUACAUGGAUAGACCAAAGUCAUUUACUAGACUGUAAAUACUAGAGGCAGCUGAAAGCACAAGGCACAAAGCUGAGGUCCAAGUAAAUCAGAGAGGCCUUGUCACAAGAAAUGUACAGAACUUGCAUGGUUUUUUUCCUUAAGGGUAUAUGACAAAAUAUUGAGAUAUAUGUCAAUGAAAAUUACUUUGAAUUUAAAAAAGGGCCAAUUCAAUGGUACACUUUUGGAAUUUGCAAGAACAAAAAUACCUUCAUGUUUACUUUUGAAAUAUAGUUGACAAUCUUCACUUUAAGGGGAACCUCUGAAAAUAAGUCCAAUGGAGGGGUUUGGUUUAUUGAAUUCAAUUAUUUUUUAAAGAAAAACAGAUGAAAUAUUGCUCUUAAAUUUCAACAUUUGCAUUUUGCUAUUAAAAUUAUUUACAAGUGCAGCAUAUCCAUGACAUCAGAUUAUGUUAUUGUGUUUGGUUAAGCUACAUAUUUCUUUUUACUUAAACUUUCUGUUGACUUUACUAGUUAAUAAAAUGCUGAAUAAUAAUUUGAGUGUGGCUCAUUCCAGUGUCUAGUAUUUCCUGUCAAUUUUUUUGUUGAUUUUACCAUGUUAUUUAUAAUCCCUUGGUCAAAGGGAGAUAACUUAUUGUAUUUUCACAUUAAAAUGCUGAAUAAUAAUUUGAGUGGCUCAUUCCAGUGUCUAGUAUUUGCUGUCAAUUUUUUGGAUGAUUUUACCAUAUUAUUUAUAAUCGCUUGCUCAAAGGGAGAUAACUUUUUGUAUUUUCACAAUAAAAUGCUGAAUAAUAAUUUGAGUAGGGCUCAUUCCAGUGUCUAGUAUUUGCUGUCAAUUUUUUUGAUGAUUUUACCAUAUUAUUUAUAAUCACUUGGUCAAAGGGAGAUAACUUAUUGUAUUUUCACAAUAAAAUGCUGAAUAAUAAUUUGAGUAGGGCUCAUUCCAGUGUCUAGUAUUUGCUGUCAAUUUUUUUGAUGAUUUUACCAUAUUAUUUAUAAUCGCUUGGUCAAAGGGAGAUAACUUUUUGUAUUUUCACAUUAAAUCAUCUGCGAAGAGGAUUAUGUAAAAUGUGAAUUGUUGAAAACUAAUUUUAUGGUUCAAUAAAAUCAAAAUAAGUUACUGCCAUUCAUUAUAAAUAAAUUUCUAUCAAAAAUAAGGCUCAAAGAACUUUUUAUAUUACUAAUAUUAACAAUAACAAUGUACACACAUGUUGACGUGUCAAUACACAACGUCAGAGUGGGUGUGUCACCAUAAAAUGUAAACAUUGAAAAUAAAACUGAUACUUUUAACUAAUCAGGAGACGGUUAAUACACCAAAUAUAUUUUUAAACCUAUAAACUUAUUAUUUUCUUCAAAUUUUAAGGUGCCUAUGUUUGCUAUUUGUUAUAACCCUAUUGUUAUGAUUCUUAAACCAUCUAUACAAGUAAGCAUGUUGAUUUGUCACUUACCAUUAUUUUAUUGAUUAGUUUGAAUUUGAUGAGGUUCUUCAAUGUAGAACUGGACUUAUUUAAACAAAAAAUGUUUUGUUUAUUUGUUUGAUAGUAAAAUUGUAUAACAAACAUUUGACAUUUUAUUUAAUUUAUCAUCAAAACAACUAUUUUG
This is a long non-coding RNA of Mytilus trossulus (common blue mussel), 3711 nucleotides long. RefSeq lists it as uncharacterized. The record is from RefSeq and is a predicted model, not a curated record. Lineage: Eukaryota; Metazoa; Mollusca; Bivalvia; Mytilida; Mytilidae. The transcript is spliced from 3 exons.